AUGCACCCAUAUCCGCUCAAAGGCUCCAAGGGGGCGUCGUUGCCGCCACGACCGACCCUCGUCUUCCUCAUCGCGCUCUUUGGCCUCUACGUAUGCUACCUCUCCUUCAAUCAGAUAAGGAUGGAGAGCAAGCAUGGGGAGGAGAAUGGUGCACAAGAACCGAAUGAACAUGUUUGCGCAAACCCUUAUGUUCCAAGUGAGGAGCUGCCCUAUGUGCACUUCCCACAGCCAAAGGGUUACAGCAGGGCGGAAUGCUCGUGUAAUCCUGUGCGGUUCUUUGUGAUCGUGUCGAUGCAAAGAUCGGGAAGUGGAUGGUUUGAGACACUGCUAAACAGCCACCCUAACAUCAGCUCGAACGGCGAAAUAUUCAACAGAGUGGAUAGAAGACAAAAUAUAUCGUCUAUCGUACAAACACUCGACAAACUGUAUGACCUGGACUGGCUCACAAGUGCAGCAAAGAAUGAGUGCACGGCUGCAUUUGGAUUCAAGUGGAUGCUAAAUCAGGGUUUUAUGGACCAUCAUGAUGAUAUACUUAGUUAUUUGAACAAGAAGGGUGUCUCUGUGAUAUUUCUCUUCAGGAGAAAUACACUACGCAGGCUUAUCUCUGUGUUGGCCAACAACUAUGACAGAGAUGCAAAGCAGCUGAAUGGAACCCACAAAUCUCACGUCCACUCGGAAGAAGAGGCCGAGAUACUCGCAAAAUUCAAACCAGAACUGGACGUGUCAACCCUGGUUUCAAACAUCAGGGAUGUCGAGAAGUACAUGGGAGACUGCUUGGACAGCUUCAACACAACACGGCGCAUGAUCCUCUACUACGAGGACAUAAUCAGAAACAGAAAUGCAUUAUUCCAGGUGCAGGAAUUCCUCGGCGUUCCGGUGAGGAAACUGGUGAGCAGGCAGGUGAAGAUUCAUACACGCCCGCUUCCGGAUCUUGUCAGGAACUGGGAGGAUGUGAAUAGCAGACUCAACGGGACAGAGUACGCGCGUUUUCUCGAUGGCGCAGAUUACGUGAAGUGA
RNAcentral lists this ribosomal RNA (1017 nucleotides) under Triticum aestivum (bread wheat). RNAcentral describes it as "partial small subunit ribosomal RNA". Lineage: Eukaryota; Viridiplantae; Streptophyta; Magnoliopsida; Poales; Poaceae. The record is from RNAcentral.